AAAAGUACGUGGAUAGUGUGUCAUUUAUUUUAGAUACGAGAUGCAUCGUUUUGCCUCGUCGGUUUCAGUCAGCGCAUACAGGGGGAUAGAACAUUGUAUGUAGGUAAUUCAUUGUUCAUUAUUUAUUACGGGUAUUAGAAUAAUUUUUUUUUUCAAAGUUUGGAACUAAAUGUGAAAGAUUGCACGGCUAUUUAAUGGAGAAUAUAAUAUAUCACAGAGUUGAUCCAAGAAGUGUG
Molecule: long non-coding RNA, 236 nt
Filed under: Mytilus galloprovincialis (Mediterranean mussel)
Lineage: Eukaryota; Metazoa; Mollusca; Bivalvia; Mytilida; Mytilidae
Source: RNAcentral